AAAUUUUAUAUUUUUUCGAUAUAGUUUAUUUUAUGAUCAAAUUAUUUCAAAAUUGUCAAUUUUCAAUGAUUAUUAUGACGAGUUUGUAGUUUAACGGUGUAGAAGAAUCUAAAUUUAUUUAAAUUUUGAUAGAAAAUAUGUUAAACUAUUUAGAUUAAAUUAGCAUUUUUUAUCUUGAAUUCAAAAGUUUUAUUCUCAAAUCCUAAAGAUUGCUUAAUUUUCACUGUUCAUUUUGGCAUAAUUUAUUUACGAAGUAAACGAUAUCGAAAGAAAUUAAAAUUUUAUUCCUAAAAACUUCAUAUAGCUUAGAUCAUAUUUGACGGUGUGGAUCGUUCAUUUGAAUACCCUAAGAUAAAAAACGAGACUAUAGUACCGAAACUUUGGUACUAUAUAUAGUAUAUUACUCUCAUUCUAUAUAUAUAUAUAUGAGCAGGGCUGCUGUGCUCUCAGGAGCACGGAGGCCUUCGUGCUCCUGAGCCGUUUUCGAUGAUGAAAAUUUCGAAUCGACGAUCGGCUCCGUUAGACUUGAUCUAGCGCAUUUGAAGUUUCUAGAAAAUAAUUUUUGCGAUUUUUCGAUAUCAUUUACCUAGUGAUCGAAAGGAUUCAAAAUCCAUAAUUUUUAAUGGUUGAUAUUUGCCGUUUUCAAGUNAAUCUUAAAAUUAAUAUUUGUUUUUUAAAAUUUUAAAUUUUAAAUUUUAAAAAUUUAUAAUUUAUAAUUUUUAAAAAAUUAAUAUUUUAUAUUUAAAUUUUUAAAUUUGAGAUUUAAAAAUAUAGAUUUUAAUUUUGAAUUUUUUAAUUUUAAAAGUUAUUUAUUUAAAUUUAAAAUUUUAAAUAUAAAAUAAAAAAUUAAAUUCAAAUAUAAUAAUUGAGUUAAAAUUAUUAUUUUCUAUUUAUAACUAUUCACUAUCCUUCUUAUUUCACUUACUCCAAUCAAACACUAUUUUUUUUAUAUCUGGACUAAAUCCAAUUCUCAAUCAAACACAAAAUUACUCUAAUCCUAUUUUAACCCUAAACUUAACCUUAUUUCAGGAAUAACUAGUUUUUACUCAACCCCGAAUCAAACGAAGCCGAAAGGAUUAUGUAUAAUCCUUGUUGGAUUAUCCGAAGCAAACAGUAGUUAAUUAGCUCAUGUUUCACGGCAAUUAAUUAGCUGUGCAGCUACACAUAAAUUGCUACUUGGUCCAAGUCCACUGCUCAUGCGUAAUUGGUGGCUUUUUUAUAAUCUCGCUUAGCUCGAUUCCCGUAAUUGGUGGCUUUUUUAUAAUCUCGCUUAGCUCAGUUCCCGUAAUUGGUGGCUUUUUUAUAAUCUCGCUUAGCUCGAUUCUGACUCUUUUGUUCCUUUUGCGCAAACCAAAGUUUCUCUUAUUAGACUAUGGUUUCUCUAUUAUCGAAACAGUACGGGCCCUAUCUACGGAAAUGGUCUAAGAAUCUGAUAUUUGGUAUCCCACGUUACAAAUUCGAACCUUAAUUAUUUUAUAUUUUUAAUUAAAUUUAUUUGUAAAAAAAUAAAUAAAACGGCUAGUAUGUUUGAAAUAUUUUCUCACAUUAGAUGCAUGUGUAGAGGUACUAUGUUAUUGAAAAUAUAAAGUAGUUGAUGCUUUCGAUUUUUUAGUCCUUGGAUUAAACAUUCUAUGGUUAGAAUAAUAACGGUCCCCUUAAGGUUGAGUGGUUCUCCUAAAAUUGAGUGGUCCCUAUUGAUUAAUAAUAUUAAUACAAUGAUUAGAAAUGAUCAAUUGAGUUGAUCUAAAGGCUUAAAAAUCGGAAGCACCAACUACUUUAUACUUCUGAUAGUAUAGUAACUCUACUCUUAGAUGCAUAUCAAAAUUCCAAAUACUUUUAAUAUAUAUAUAUAUAUAUAUAUAUAUAUAUAUAUAUAUAGAGUGAGGCUACUAUACUAUCGGAAGCACGGAGUCUUCCGUGCUUCCAGCUCGUUUUCGAUGUUGCGACUUUCGAAUCGUCGAUCGGCUCCGUUAAACUUGAUCUAGAGUAUUUGAAGUACCUAGAAAAUAAAUUUUAUGAUUUUAUGAUAUCAUUUGCCUAGUGAACGAAGGGGCUCAAAAUCAACGGCUGAAAAUAAAAAUCUUACAAAAUGUAAUAAUAUGACAUUAAAAUUUUAAAUCAAAGAUAUUGAUCUUGUUUUAUAUAGUAUAAAGAAUUUUCUAUUAAAAUUUCACGGAUUUGGAUAUUUCUACACCGUAAACUUGCAAACGGCUCACUACGGCCUUUGAAAUUUGUUGAUUUUGAGCCCAUUCGAUCACAAGGCAAAUGAUAUCGAAAAUAAAAAAUUUAUUUUCUAGGUACUCCAAAUACUCUAGAUCAAGUUUAACGGAGUCGAUCGACGAUUCGAAAGUGCAACAUCGAAAACAAGCUGGAAGCAUGGAAGGCUCCGUGCUUCCGAUAGCAUAGUAGCUCACUCUAUAUAUAUAUAUAUAUAGAGAGAGAGAGAGAGGAGAGAGAGAGAGCUAUUAUAAUAUCUAUAACACUAGAACUCCAAUAUUAUAGUCUUAUUUUUGAUUUUAGAGUGUUCAAAUCAACGAUCUACACCAUUAAAACUGAUUUAGAAUAUUUAAAAUUUUUAGAAAUAAAAUUUUAUAUUUUUUCGAUAUAGUUUAUUUUAUGAUCAAAUUAUUUCAAAAUUGUCAAUUUUCAAUGAUUAUUAUGACGAGUUUGUAGUUUAACGGUGUGUAGAAGAAUCUAAAUUUAUUUAAAUUUUGAUAGAAAAUAUGUUAAACUAUUUAGAUUAAAUUAGCAUUUUUUAUCUUGAAUUCAAAAGUUUUAUUCUCAAAUCCUAAAGAUUGCUUAAUUUUCACUGUUCAUUUUGGCAUAAUUUAUUUACGAAGUAAACGAUAUCGAAAGAAAUUAAAAUUUUAUUCCUUAAAACUUCAUAUAGCUUAGAUCAUAUUUGACGGUGUGGAUCGUUCAUUUGAAUACCUAAGAUAAAAAACGAGUAUAGUACCGAAACUUUGUACUAUUAUAUAUAUAUUACUCUCAUUCUAUAUAUAUAUAUAUGAGCAGGGCUGCUGUGCUCUCAGGAGCACGGAGGCCUUCGUGCUCCUGAGCUUUUCGAUGAUGAAAAUUUCGAAUCGACGAUCGGCUCCGUUAGACUUGAUCUAGCGCAUUUGAAGUUUCUAGAAAAAUUUUUGCGAUUUUUCGAUAUCAUUUACCUAGUGAUCGAAAGGAUUCAAAAUCCAUAAUUUUUAAUGGUUGAUAUUUGCCGUUUUCAAGUUUAACGGUGUAGAAUUAUUCAAAUCAGAUGAAAUUUUGAUAGAAAAUUCUUUAUACUAUCUACAACAAGAUCUAUAUUUCUGAUCGAAAAUUUUAGUGCUAUAUCACUACUUUUAUAGUAUUUUUAUUUUCAGCCGUUAAAAAUUAUUGAUUUUGAAUCCUUUCGAUUGCUAGGUGAAUGAUAUCGAAAAAUCGCAAAAAUUAUUUUAUAGAAACUUUAAAUACGCUAGAUCAAGUUUAACGGAGCGAUCGUCGAUU
RNAcentral lists this long non-coding RNA (3483 nucleotides) under Ananas comosus (pineapple). Its description in RNAcentral is "long non-coding RNA (ACOM_LNC018699)". Lineage: Eukaryota; Viridiplantae; Streptophyta; Magnoliopsida; Poales; Bromeliaceae. The record is from RNAcentral.